RNAcentral lists this long non-coding RNA (253 nucleotides) under Musa acuminata (dwarf banana). RNAcentral describes it as "long non-coding RNA (MACU_LNC005475)". The record is from RNAcentral. Lineage: Eukaryota; Viridiplantae; Streptophyta; Magnoliopsida; Zingiberales; Musaceae.
CUCUCAUCGGCCUUCCUCCUCGUCAUCCUAUGUUCCGCCGCCUUCUUCCUCUGGCCCUCCGACCCCCAGCUAACCGUCGCCCGCCUCCGGUUCGACGACCUCCGCGUCACCCCGCCCCCCUUCGCUACCAUUGACGUCGUCCUUAGCGUCGACCUCAUGGUCCGUAACCCGGACUUUUUCUCUCUCGACUACCGCUCCAUCGUGGUCUCGAUCGGGUACCGCGGGAGGCCGCUCGGCUCCGUCACGGCUGACG